Molecule: ribosomal RNA, 478 nt
Filed under: uncultured bacterium
Lineage: Bacteria
Description: partial 16S ribosomal RNA
Rfam family: Bacterial small subunit ribosomal RNA
Source: RNAcentral
GACGAACGCUGGCGGCGUGCUUAACACAUGCAAGUCGAACGGGAUUUCGUAAACAGAAGCCUCGGUGGAAGAUUACUAAUGAGAGUGGCGAACGGGUGAGUAACGCGUGAGCAACCUGCCUAUGACAGUGGGAUAGCCUCGGGAAACCGGGAUUAAUACCGCAUAAAAUCGUAGAAACACAUGUUUUAACGGUCAAAGAUUUAUCGGUCAUAGAUGGGCUCGCGUCUGAUUAGCUAGUUGGUGAGAUAACAGCCCACCAAGGCGACGAUCAGUAGCCGGUCUGAGAGGAUGAACGGCCACAGUGGAACUGAGACACGGUCCAAACUCCUACGGGAGGCAGCAGUGGGGAAUAUUGCACAAUGGGGGAAACCCUGAUGCAGCGACGCCGCGUGAACGAAGAAGGUAUUCGUAUCGUAAAGUUCUGUCCUAUGGGAAGAUAAUGACAGUACCAUAGAAGAAAGCUCCGGCUAAAUACGUG